Molecule: transfer RNA, 92 nt
Filed under: Janibacter melonis
Lineage: Bacteria; Bacillati; Actinomycetota; Actinomycetes; Micrococcales; Intrasporangiaceae
Description: tRNA-Phe
Rfam family: tRNA
About the family: Transfer RNA (tRNA) molecules are approximately 80 nucleotides in length. Their secondary structure includes four short double-helical elements and three loops (D, anti-codon, and T loops). Further hydrogen bonds mediate the characteristic L-shaped molecular structure. tRNAs have two regions of fundamental functional importance: the anti-codon, which is responsible for specific mRNA codon recognition, and the 3' end, to which the tRNAs corresponding amino acid is attached (by aminoacyl-tRNA synthetases). tRNAs cope with the degeneracy of the genetic code in two manners: having more than one tRNA (with a specific anti-codon) for a particular amino acid; and 'wobble' base-pairing, i.e. permitting non-standard base-pairing at the 3rd anti-codon position.
Source: RNAcentral
GGAGGGUUGGCCGAGUCUGGCUGAUGGCAGCGCACUGAAAAUGCGUAGGCGGGGGAGACUCCGUACGAGGGUUCGAAUCCCUUACCCUCGCC